Molecule: long non-coding RNA, 1080 nt
Filed under: Rhinopithecus bieti (black snub-nosed monkey)
Lineage: Eukaryota; Metazoa; Chordata; Mammalia; Primates; Cercopithecidae
Description: lncRNA (ENSRBIG00000046141.1)
Source: RNAcentral
GUGCCUGCAGCACGGGCGCCCUAGAAAGGGAAACCUGUUUUCCUCCUCCCAGGUUUCUGGUUUCUCCACCUAGUCUCCCCACAGUCCUUCACUGCCCGCACCCAGAGUCCUUCCGGCCUCUACCCAGACUCUGAGAAGUGGCCCGACAUUCCAGGUAACCUGAUUCCCCAGACGGGAUAGGCGGCGGCCUGCUGCUGCGAAGGCGCGACCACGUGACCUUUCCUGCCUGCACCGGGGAAAUGCAUACCUUGUUCAGAAAACUAGGGGACAGGUCUCUUGAGGAAGGACAUGGAUUUCCCAAGACAUAUCUGACCACUACACAUCUCUGUUCAAAAGAAUACAGACAUCCAUCUGCAAAAGAUCAUGGCCUUAAAAUUGGUUUAAAGCAUGUAUUACUUCCUGCCAGUUCCUGUACGUGCUCGUGAUUGGGGGACAAGAUUAACUGCAUCCUGCCUCCUAUAUCUAUAACAUCAGGCCUUUGACAUUUGUGGAGAUAACAUUGGCAGUUUCAUCUGUUCAUAAGGCAUCCUAAAGAUCCAUGAUAUUAUAAUUUGCAAUAUCCCUGGUGCCCAAAACUGAAAUUUCAUCUUGUGUGUGGGAGCAAGCCCUUGUGCAGUGAAUAAACUACCCAGCCACCUUAGUGGUCACACCUCAGCAUGACUGUUGUUCUUCACACAUCCUGGUAGAUGCAGCCAGUAACUCUGGUGGAGUGAUCAACAGUUGGUUCCUUUGUGAAAAGUGACCUCUAAACAAAGUCACUUGAGACUUUCUUUGAUAGAAAUGACAAAUGAAGGCCUAAGAUAUGAAAGUUCUUAGUGAGAAAAUAUUUUUAUACACUUUUAAAUUCUGUGUUUUAAAUUUCAUUAAAAUAGGCCUAAGGCUGGGCACAGUGGCUCACACCUAUAAUCCCAGUGCUUUGGGAGGCCAAAGCAGGAGGAUAGCUUGAGCCCAGGAGGUUGAGACCAGCUUGGGCAACAUAGUGAGACCCCAUCUCUGCAAAAAAUAAGAUGUAGCCAGGCAUGGUGGCGAGUGCCUAUAGUUUCAGCUACUUGGGAGGCUGAGGUAGGAGGAUUGCUUGAG